AACCUUAAAAUGCAUAUGCGUGGGGUCUGUGUGUUAUUGUAUAAAAGAGCUGCAAGUUGUCAAUGUAUUCAGAUCAGUAGAGAAUAGAAUUGGGAUUAGAUUAAUUGCUGGAAGUAGUUAGCAUUGCCCAAUUUAAGUACUACUACCGGCUAAAUUCUAACCAAUUUGCAAAUCUCGACACGUUGUAAUGCCGUUUCCUGACCAUCAGAUUUCUGUCAAAUCUUCCCCCAAAGUCCAGGAAAUGGCAUUUCAGAGACUCUAAAUUCAAAAAUUUUCCUGGGGGAGGGCAUGCUCCCGGACUCCCCUAGACAAACCUCGCACCUGCAGCUCUCGGCUCGUGCCUUCGGCCCUCGUUUAUGAAGCGUAAUAUUAUAGGGGCGCAUAUUGGUUGCCAGCCGACUGGCCCCCCCAGAAAAAUAGUACCCAGCACGCCACUGAAUUAUAACGCCGCGAAGAUAUUUUGCGGGAACGAUAUGGUAAUUCACAACAAAUAAUCUCAGCCCUCAUGGGCGAAUUACUUAAAAUACAACCAAGUAGUGGGGAAAAGUCAAGUCAAUUACCUUACAUUUAUGAUAACGUUAUACAGGGUGUAUAAAAAAACCUGAACAGAUUUAAAAUUGCUCUCAAUUUCGCAAAACAGCUAUUUGUAUCCGGUUUUCUAUAUAUAUAGCCUCUUUGCGUACUUAUAAUGUAGAAUAAUGAGAAAAAUUUCUCGAACUCAAAUUUUGUGAACUAGGGGGUGUGUCUUUUCCAACAAACUG
Non-coding RNA from Paramuricea clavata, 761 nucleotides. The record is from the annotation of a GenBank genome assembly. Lineage: Eukaryota; Metazoa; Cnidaria; Anthozoa; Malacalcyonacea; Plexauridae.